UGUGUGUGUGUGUUACCUGUAAGGACUAGAUGUAGGGGGUAGUGUGUGUGUGUUACCUGUAAGGACUAGAUGUAGGGGUAGUGUGUGUGUGUUACCUGUAAGGACUAGAUGUAGGGGUAGUGUGUGUGUGUUACCUGUAAGGACUAGACGUAGGGGGGGUGUGUGUGUGUUACCUGUAAGGACUAGACGUAGUGUGUGUGUGUGUUACCUGUAAGGACUAGACGUAGUGUGUGAGUGAGUGAGUGAGUGAGAGAGAGAGUGUGUGUUACCUGUAAGGACUAGAUGUAGGGGUAGUGUGUGUGUGUUACCUGUAAGGACUAGAUGUAGGGGUAGUGUGUGUGUGUUACCUGUAAGGACUAGGUGUAGGGGUAGUGUGUGUGUUACCUGUAAGGACUAGACGUAGGGGUAGUGUGUGUGUGUUACCUGUAAGGACUAGAUGUAGGGGUAGUGUGUGUGUGUUACCUGUAAGGACUAGACGUAGGGGUAGUGUGUGUGUUACCUGUAAGGACUAGACGUAGGGGUAGUGUGUGUGUUACCUGUAAGGACUAGAUGUAGGGGUAGUGUGUGUGUUACCUGUAAGGACUAGACGUAGGGGUAGUGUGUGUGUUACCUGUAAGGACUAGGUGUAGGGGUAGUGUGUGUGUGUUACC
RNAcentral lists this long non-coding RNA (650 nucleotides) under Salmo salar (Atlantic salmon). Its description in RNAcentral is "lncRNA (ENSSSAG00000117425.1)". The record is from RNAcentral. Lineage: Eukaryota; Metazoa; Chordata; Actinopteri; Salmoniformes; Salmonidae.